GCCGCCGUAGCUCAGCCUGGUUAGAGCGCCGGACUCAUACGGUAAUGUAAAUCUGGGAUAUCCGGUUGUCCGGGGUUCAAAUCCCCGCGGCGGCA
This 95-nucleotide transfer RNA is filed under the name Sulfolobus acidocaldarius DSM 639. It matches the Rfam family "tRNA". Rfam says of the family: Transfer RNA (tRNA) molecules are approximately 80 nucleotides in length. Their secondary structure includes four short double-helical elements and three loops (D, anti-codon, and T loops). Lineage: Archaea; Thermoproteati; Thermoproteota; Thermoprotei; Sulfolobales; Sulfolobaceae. The record is from Rfam by way of RNAcentral.